AUUGAACGCUGGCGGCAUGCUUUACACAUGCAAGUCGAACGGUAACAGGGAGCUUGCUCGCUGACGAGUGGCGAACGGGUGAGUAAUGCAUCGGAACGUGCCUAUUUGUGGGGGAUAACGUAGCGAAAGUUACGCUAAUACCGCAUACGCCCUGAGGGGGAAAGCGGGGGAUCGAAAGACCUCGCGCGAUUGGAGCGGCCGAUGUCAGAUUAGCUAGUUGGUGGGGUAAAGGCCCACCAAGGCGACGAUCUGUAGCUGGUCUGAGAGGACGACCAGCCACACUGGGACUGAGACACGGCCCCAGACUCCUACGGGAGGCAGCAGUGGGGAAUUUUGGACAAUGGGCGCAAGCCUGAUCCAGCCAUGCCGCGUGUGUGAAGAAGGCCUUAGGGUUGUAAAGCACUUUCAGCGAGGAGGAAGGGGUUGUAGUUAAUAGCUGCAAUCUUUGACGUUACUCGCAGAAGAAGCACCGGCUAACUCUGUG
This 484-nucleotide ribosomal RNA is filed under the name uncultured bacterium. Its description in RNAcentral is "bacterial SSU rRNA". It matches the Rfam family "Bacterial small subunit ribosomal RNA", at positions 30 to 507 of the family's 1533-position model. The record is from RNAcentral.